Molecule: ribosomal RNA, 403 nt
Filed under: uncultured bacterium
Lineage: Bacteria
Description: partial 16S ribosomal RNA
Rfam family: Bacterial small subunit ribosomal RNA
Source: RNAcentral
AUCGAACGCUGGCGGCAGGCCUAACACAUGCAAGUCGAGCGUGCGGCGGACGGGUGAGUAAUGUAUGGGGACUGCCCGAUUGAGGGGGAUCACUACUGGAAACGGUAGCUAAUACUGCAUACUAUCGGUUAACCCAUAUGGGAUUAGCUAGUAGGUGAGGUAAGGGCUAACCUAGGCGACGAUCCCUAGCUGGUCUGAGAGGAUGAUUAGCCACACGGGGAUGGGGACACGGCCCGGACUCCUACGGAGGCGGCAGUGGGGAAUAUUGCACAAGGGGCGCAAGCCUGAGGCAGCCAGGCGGCGUGGAGGAAGAGGGCUCUAGGGUGGAAAAGUACUUUCAGUCGGGAGGCGUUACCGAAAGAGGAAGCACCGGCUAACUCCGUGCCAGCAGCCGCGGUAAUUC